AUCAAACUGAAGAGUCCCAAAUAUGACGAAACACAUUUCCUGCAU
Non-coding RNA from Schistosoma haematobium, 45 nucleotides. NCBI's taxonomy places the organism in Eukaryota, Metazoa, Platyhelminthes, Trematoda, Strigeidida, Schistosomatidae. The record is from Rfam.